GUUUUCUUUUCAAUAUUCAGGUUUAAGAAAAUGUCUUCGAGUACCGAAGAACGAAGAGAAAAUGGUUCUGCUGCUUCCGGUGGAGAUCAGAAUUCAGGAGGUAAUCAAGAAGGGAAUUUCGAGUGCAAUAUUUGUCUAGAUACAGCAAAGGAUGCAGUCGUUAGCCUAUGCGGACACCUCUUCUGUUGGCCGUGUUUACAUCAGUGGCUGGAAACUAGGCCCACUAGACAGGUUUGUCCAGUAUGCAAGGCUGCUAUAAAUAAAGAAAAAGUUAUACCUUUGUAUGGAAGGGGAGGUGCUAAACAAGAUCCAAGAGAUAAACUUCCGCCGAGACCUCCUGGACAGAGGACAGAGCCAGAAAAUAAUGCCGGACAAUCAUUUCCCGGAUUUGGAUUCGGAGACGGAGGAUUCCACAUGUCAUUCGGAAUUGGUGCCUUUCCAUUUGGAUUUUUUGCUUCUACUUUCAACUUCGGCGACGGAAGACCUGCUCCCACCCCUGGCAGUCCUGAAUAUUCUGAAGAACAGUUUCUAAGCAAAGUAUUUCUCUGGGUAGCUAUACUUUUUCUUUUCUGGCUCCUAAUAGCCUGAGAGACUGGACUCUGGAAGGUGUAGAUACAAAAGAGUAGCAUUGUCGGCCGUUGUAUCGUGCAAUUAUGGAAUGUAAGAGGCUCCAUAUCUUCCAUUGAUAUUAUAGUGGAGUGCGAGAGGAGUUUCGGAGAAAUUUAAUAUAUUUGUGGAACCCAUUUUGUCUGGAGGUUGCAUGUGCGUCGGAAGAUGGAAGAACCCGCUGGCUAAAUAAAUUGUAUCAUAUUUGUUUUAUGUUAAAUAAUGUUUUUGUAUAUAUGGUAAUGUGUAUAUUACAUCUACUCCGUCUGGAAUUCUUAUUUUACGGGAAACUUUGAGUAGCCAACCAGUAGAUUCCUCUUUUUUCUGAAAGUGUAACAUCAUUAUGGUAUUUGUACUCAUGAUUUGGCAAUGCCAACAUUCCAUUUAGAGAAAUUAAAAAUUUCGUACAAUUU
RNAcentral lists this unclassified non-coding RNA (1019 nucleotides) under Centruroides sculpturatus (bark scorpion). Its description in RNAcentral is "e3 ubiquitin-protein ligase RNF185-like, transcript variant X1". Lineage: Eukaryota; Metazoa; Arthropoda; Arachnida; Scorpiones; Buthidae. The record is from RNAcentral.